UACGAAGGGGGCUAGCGUUGCUCGGAAUCACUGGGCGUAAAGCGCACGCAGGCGGUCCUUUAAGUCAGGGGUGAAAGCCCAGAGCUCAACUCUGGAACUGCCUUUGAAACUAGAGGACUUGGGUACGGGAGAGGUGAGUGGAAUUCCGAGUGUAGAGGUGAAAUUCGUAGAUAUUCGGAAGAACACCAGUGGCGAAGGCGGCUCACUGGCCCGUUACCGACGCUCAGGCGCGACAGCGUGGGGAGCAAACAGG
This 253-nucleotide ribosomal RNA is filed under the name uncultured bacterium. Its description in RNAcentral is "partial 16S ribosomal RNA". It matches the Rfam family "Bacterial small subunit ribosomal RNA", at positions 524 to 776 of the family's 1533-position model. The record is from RNAcentral.